CAAGUCGAGCGGCAGCGCGGGGCAACCUGGCGGCGAGCGGCGAACGGGUGAGUAAUGCAUCGGAACAUGUCCAUGUCGUGGGGGAUAGCCCGGCGAAAGCCGGAUUAAUACCGCAUGUGCCCUUCGGGGGAAAGCGGGGGACCGCAAGGCCUCGCGCGAUUGGGUUGGCCGAUGUCCGAUUAGCUAGUUGGUGGGGUAAAGGCCCACCAAGGCGAUGAUCGGUAGCUGGUCUGAGAGGAUGAUCAGCCACACUGGGACUGAGACACGGCCCAGACUCCUACGGGAGGCAGCAGUGGGGAAUUUUGGACAAUGGGGGAAACCCUGAUCCAGCCAUUCCGCGUGAGUGAAGAAGGCCUUCGGGUUGUAAAGCUCUUUUGUCCGGAACGAAACGGUGGACGUGAAUAUCGUCCGCUACUGACGGUACCGGAAGAAUAAGCACCGGCUAACUACGUGCCAGCAGCCGCGGUAAUACGUAGGGUGCGAGCGUUAAUCGGAAUUACUGGGCGUAAAGCGUGCGCAGGCGGUUUUGCAAGCCGGAUGUGAAAUCCCCGGGCUCAACCUGGGAAUGGCAUUCGGGACUGCAAGGCUGGAGUGCGGCAGAGGAGACUGGAAUUCCUGGUGUAGCAGUGAAAUGCGUAGAUAUCAGGAGGAAUACCGAUGGCGAAGGCAGGUCUCUGGGCUGACACUGACGCUCAUGCACGAAAGCGUGGGGAGCAAACAGGAUUAGAUACCCUGGUAGUCCACGCCCUAAACGAUGUCGACUGGUUGUUGGGGGUUUGACACUCUCAGUAACGAAGCUAACGCGUGAAGUCGACCGCCUGGGGAGUACGGCCGCAAGGUU
Molecule: ribosomal RNA, 841 nt
Filed under: uncultured beta proteobacterium
Lineage: Bacteria; Pseudomonadati; Pseudomonadota; Betaproteobacteria
Description: bacterial SSU rRNA
Rfam family: Bacterial small subunit ribosomal RNA
Source: RNAcentral